RNAcentral lists this ribosomal RNA (505 nucleotides) under uncultured bacterium. Its description in RNAcentral is "partial 16S ribosomal RNA". It matches the Rfam family "Bacterial small subunit ribosomal RNA", at positions 28 to 507 of the family's 1533-position model. The record is from RNAcentral.
GACGAACGCUGGCGGCGUGCCUAAUACAUGCAAGUAGAACGCACAGUUUAUACCGUAGCUUGCUACACCAUAAACUGUGAGUUGCGAACGGGUGAGCAACGCGUAGGUAACCUGCCUGGUAGCGGGGGAUAACUAUUGGAAACGAUAGCUAAUACCGCAUAAUAUUGAUUAUUGCAUGAUAAUUGAUUGAAAGAUGCUAUUGCAUCACUACCAGAUGGACCUGCGUUGUAUUAGCUAGUAGGUGAGGUAACGGCUCACCUAGGCGACGAUACAUAGCCGACCUGAGAGGGUGAUCGGCCACACUGGGACUGAGACACGGCCCAGACUCCUACGGGAGGCAGCAGUAGGGAAUCUUCGGCAAUGGACGAAAGUCUGACCGAGCAACGCCGCGUGAGUGAAGAAGGUUUUCGGAUCGUAAAGCUCUGUUGUAAGAGAAGAACGGGUGUGAGAGUGGAAAGUUCACACUGUGACGGUAUCUUACCAGAAAGGGACGGCUAACUACGUG